GAGGACUGCUCUUCACAUUGCAGCGUGUCGAGGCUUCCAAGAUAUAGUGAAAGAGAUCAUUUCUAAAUGCCCAGGUUGCAGCGAACUUACUGACAAAAGAGGCUGGAAUGUUCUUCACUAUGCAGUGAUCAGCAAAAGUGAUAAAGUAAUAAAAGAAGUGCUCAAACAUUCAUCAUUGCUUUGCCUUUUAAAUAAGAAAGAUGUUGAAGGAAAUACGCCUGUCCAUCUAUAUAAAGCUUAUCAUCCCAGUUUGCCUGCCUUCAUAGAAAAACGAGAUGUAUUCUUGUUUUGGAGAAAACUGCACUAUCAAAUCACAGGAUACUCAUCCUCAAAGAAGGUCAGUCAACUAACAUAUAUCUUGUCACAAUAUAGAUAUUAAUUUUUAUUCUUAUUGAGCAAAAUAUGGGAUAAGUUAACUAUUUUUUCUUUUUUUUUUUAAUCACUAAUACUAUAAUGCUAACAUUAAUAAAUGUGAGAAAUUUAACCCGAGACUUUGUACUCUCUAUAGCCUUUAAAUUAUAUAAUAAGAUUAGACUUGAGACAUAUUAAUAA
RNAcentral lists this unclassified non-coding RNA (552 nucleotides) under Hevea brasiliensis (rubber tree). The record is from RNAcentral. Lineage: Eukaryota; Viridiplantae; Streptophyta; Magnoliopsida; Malpighiales; Euphorbiaceae.